This 315-nucleotide ribosomal RNA is filed under the name uncultured bacterium. Its description in RNAcentral is "bacterial SSU rRNA". It matches the Rfam family "Bacterial small subunit ribosomal RNA", at positions 30 to 347 of the family's 1533-position model. The record is from RNAcentral.
AUUGAACGCUGGCGGCAUGCCUUACACAUGCAAGUCGAACGGCAGCGGACCUUCGGGUGCCGGCGAGUGGCGAACGGGUGAGUAAUAUAUCGGAACGUACCUUUCAGUGGGGGAUAACGUAGCGCAAGUUACGCUAAUACCGCAUAUUCUGUGAGCAGGAAAGCAGGGGAUCGCAAGACCUUGCGCUGAUUGAGCGGCCGAUAUCAGAUUAGCUAGUUGGUGAGGUAAAGGCUCACCAAGGCGACGAUCUGUAGCGGGUCUGAGAGGAUGAUCCGCCACACUGGAACUGAGACACGGUCCAGACUCCUACGGGGA